GAGUAACCUGCCCCUGACUUCGGGAUAAGCCCGGGAAACUGGGUCUAAUACCGGAUACGACUGCCGGACGCAUGUCUGGUGGUGGAAAGUUUUUUCGGUUGGGGAUGGGCUCGCGGCCUAUCAGUUUGUUGGUGAGGUAAUGGCUCACCAAGACGACGACGGGUAGCCGGCCUCAGAGGGCGACCGGCCACACUGGGACUGAGACACGGCCCCACUCCUACGGGAGGCAGCAGUGGGGAAUAUUGCACAAUGGGGGAAACCCUGAUGCACGACCCACGUGCGGGAUGACGGCCUUCCGGUUGUAAACCGCUUUCGCACGGAAGAAACGCAAGUGACGGUACCUGCACAAGAAAUACCGGCUAACUACGUGCCAGCAGCCGCGGUAAUACGUAGGGUACGAGCGUUGUCCGGAAUUAUUGGGCGUAAAGAGCUCGUAGGUGGUUGGUCACGUCUGCUGUGGAAACGCAACGCUUAACGUUGCUCGUGCAGUGGGUACGGGCUGACUAGAGUGCAGUAGGGGAGUCUGGAAUUCCUGGUGUAGCGGUGAAAUGCGCAGAUAUCAGGAGGAACACCGGUGGCGAAGGCGGGACUCUGGGCUGUAACUGACACUGAGGAGCGAAAGCAUGGGGAGCGAACAGGAUUAGAUACCCUGGUAGUCCAUGCCGUAAACGUUGGGCACUAGGUGUGGGGGGCAUUCCACGUUCUCCGCGCC
Molecule: ribosomal RNA, 712 nt
Filed under: uncultured bacterium
Lineage: Bacteria
Description: bacterial SSU rRNA
Rfam family: Bacterial small subunit ribosomal RNA
Source: RNAcentral